GUUGACCUCGGAUCAGGUAGGGAUACCCGCUGAACUUAAGCAUAUCU
RNAcentral lists this ribosomal RNA (47 nucleotides) under Botrytis cinerea. Its description in RNAcentral is "partial 28S ribosomal RNA". Lineage: Eukaryota; Fungi; Ascomycota; Leotiomycetes; Helotiales; Sclerotiniaceae. The record is from RNAcentral.